Long non-coding RNA from Ailuropoda melanoleuca (giant panda), 552 nucleotides. RefSeq lists it as uncharacterized. The record is from RefSeq and is a predicted model, not a curated record. NCBI's taxonomy places the organism in Eukaryota, Metazoa, Chordata, Mammalia, Carnivora, Ursidae. The transcript is spliced from 3 exons.
GAGUCUGCUUGAAGAUUCUCUUCCUCUGCUCCUCCCCCUGCUCUUGAUCACAUGUGCGCUGUGUCUCUCUCUCUCAAAUAAAUAAAUCUUUUAAAAAAACUUAACAUAAGUGAAAUAAAGCUAUUUCCCCCUUCAUCUGCUGUCAUCCAUUAAAGAUUAUUUUAUAUACUUUUGUCUGUUUACAGCUUCAGAACUAGCAAAAACACCAAGAAAAAAUGUUUCGUUAAGUUUGAAGAAUGAUCCUGAAAUUAUGAUAAACAUUCCUCAAUGUAGUAAGGGGCAUUCUGCUUCAGACAAAGUUCAAUUGAAGAACAGCGAUAAAAGUGAAUUUCUGUCUACAGCACCUAGUGGUCUAAGGAAAAGAUUAAUAGGUACGUAUUUCUUUCUAAACUGAGUUUUUAUAAAAAGCACCUAAACAAGGGGCAGUCAUGGUUUAGUGUAUAGGUUCUAGUCUUAGACUGCUUGGUUUUUUUUGUUGUUGUUUUUUUUGUUUUUGUUUUUAAUUUAUUCAAUUGACAGAGAUAGAGACAGCCAGCGAGAGAGGGAACACAA